This 215-nucleotide ribosomal RNA is filed under the name uncultured marine eukaryote. RNAcentral describes it as "partial 18S ribosomal RNA". It matches the Rfam family "Eukaryotic small subunit ribosomal RNA", at positions 613 to 832 of the family's 1831-position model. The record is from RNAcentral.
UUGCGGUUAAAAAGCUCGUAGUUGGAUUUCUGUUGAGAACAGGCGGUCCACCUUUUGGGUGAGCAUCUGCAUUGGUCUCGGCAUCUUCUCGGAAUACGGUUCUGCGCUUGAUUGCGUGGAUCGGAGUUCGGGACUUUUACUUUGAGGAAAUUAGAGUGUUCACGGCAGGCAAUCGCCCUGAAUAUAUUAGCAUGGAAUAAUAAUAUAGGAUUUCA